RNAcentral lists this transfer RNA (71 nucleotides) under Marmota monax (woodchuck). RNAcentral describes it as "tRNA.Ala". The record is from RNAcentral. Lineage: Eukaryota; Metazoa; Chordata; Mammalia; Rodentia; Sciuridae.
GCAGUUGUGGCUCAGUGGUACAGCACAUGCCUAGCAUGUGUGAGGCACUAGGUUCAAUUCUCAGCAACACA